UGCAUAUCAAUAAGCGGAGGAAAWGWAACCCAACCCGGGAUUGCCUUAGUAACGGCGAGUGAAGCGGCAAAAGCUCAAAUUUGAAAUCUGGCGUCUUCGACGUCCGAGUUGUAAUUUGAAGAAGGCAACUUUGUAGCUGGUCCUUGUCUAUGUUCCUUGGAACAGGACGUCAUAGAGGGUGAGAAUCCCGUGUGGCGAGGAUCCCAGUUAUUUGUAAAGUGCUUUCGACGAGUCGAGUUGUUUGGGAAUGCAGCUCUAAGUGGGUGGUAAAUUCCAUCUAAAGCUAAAUAUUGGCGAGAGACCGAUAGCGAACAAGUACAGUGAUGGAAAGAUGAAAAGAACUUUGAAAAGAGAGUGAAAAAGUACGUGAAAUUGUUGAAAGGGAAGGGCAUUUGAUCAGACAUGGCGUUUGCUUCGGCUUUCGCUGGGCCAGCAUCAGUUUUAGCGGUUGGAUAAAUCCUCGGGAAUGUGGCUCUGCUUCGGUAGAGUGUUAUAGCCCGUGGGAAUACAGCCAGCUGGGACUGAGGAUUGCGACUUUUGUCAAGGAUGCUGGCGUAAUGGUUAAAUGCCGCCCGUCUUGAAACACGC
RNAcentral lists this ribosomal RNA (588 nucleotides) under Kluyveromyces lactis. RNAcentral describes it as "LSU rRNA". It matches the Rfam family "Eukaryotic large subunit ribosomal RNA", at positions 37 to 664 of the family's 3401-position model. The record is from RNAcentral. Lineage: Eukaryota; Fungi; Ascomycota; Saccharomycetes; Saccharomycetales; Saccharomycetaceae.